UGGGGAAUAUUGCACAAUGGGCGCAAGCCUGAUGCAGCAACGCCGCGUGAAUGAUGAAGGCCUUCGGGUCGUAAAGUUCUGUCCUAAGGGAAGAAUACAGUGACGGUACCUUAGGAGGAAGCCCCGGCUAACUACGUGCC
This 140-nucleotide ribosomal RNA is filed under the name uncultured bacterium. RNAcentral describes it as "partial 16S ribosomal RNA". It matches the Rfam family "Bacterial small subunit ribosomal RNA", at positions 355 to 509 of the family's 1533-position model. The record is from RNAcentral.